This 253-nucleotide ribosomal RNA is filed under the name uncultured bacterium. Its description in RNAcentral is "partial 16S ribosomal RNA". It matches the Rfam family "Bacterial small subunit ribosomal RNA", at positions 524 to 776 of the family's 1533-position model. The record is from RNAcentral.
UACGAAGGGGGCUAGCGUUGCUCGGAAUCACUGGGCGUCAAGGGUGCGUAGGCGGGUCUUUAAGUCAGGGGGGAAAUCCUGGAGCUCAACUCCAGAACUGCCUUUGAUACUGAAGAUCUUGAGUUCGGGAGAGGUGAGUGGAACUGCGAGUGUAGAGGUGAAAUUCGUAGAUAUUCGCAAGAACACCAGUGGCGAAGGCGGCUCACUGGCCCGAUACUGACGCUGAGGCACGAAAGCGUGGGGAGCAAACAGG